GAUGAACGCUGGCGGCGUGCUUAACACAUGCGAGUCGAACGAGAAGUGAAGACGGAAACCUUCGGGCGGAAGGCUUUAUUUCGAGUGGCGGACGGGUGAGUAACGCGUGGGUAACCUGCCUCAUACAGGGGGAUAACAGUUGGAAACGACUGUUAAUACCGCAUAAGACCACAGCACCGCAUGGUGCGGGGGUAAAAACUCCGGUGGUAUGAGAUGGACCCGCGUUCGAUUAGCCAGUUGGCGGGGUAACGGCCCACCAAAGCGACGAUCGAUAGCCGAUCUGAGAGGAUGACCGGCCACAUUGGGACUGAGACACGGCCCAAACUCCUACGGGAGGCAGCAGUGGGGAAUAUUGCACAAUGGGGGAAACCCUGAUGCAGCGACGCCGCGUGAGUGAAGAAGUAUUUCGGUAUGUAAAGCUCUAUCAGCAGGGAAGAAAAUGACGGUACCUGAGGAAGAAGCCCCGGCUAACUACGUG
RNAcentral lists this ribosomal RNA (478 nucleotides) under uncultured bacterium. RNAcentral's name for it is "partial 16S ribosomal RNA". It matches the Rfam family "Bacterial small subunit ribosomal RNA", at positions 28 to 507 of the family's 1533-position model. The record is from RNAcentral.